This 476-nucleotide long non-coding RNA is filed under the name Geospiza fortis (medium ground-finch). RNAcentral describes it as "lncRNA (ENSGFOG00000013992.1)". The record is from RNAcentral. Lineage: Eukaryota; Metazoa; Chordata; Aves; Passeriformes; Thraupidae.
CGCCGGGGCUGUGCAGCUCCCCUGGCCUUGCCGGGUGGUUGUCGCCCGCCGAGCUCUCUCUCAGCCGCCUCCCGUUUGUCCCCAGGCAUGGUCGCCGCGCUGUAGGACGGCCGGGAGCCGCGGCGAUGGAGGAGAGCGUUUGAGAUUGUCUGCAGAGGCGUUCCGUGUGUGUGAGACGUGUAUGAUAAUGAUCCCAUGAAGAUAUGAAUGUUAAUUAUGAAGUAACAGAACACAUGUUCUAUGACCCUUUGAAUCUAUUUGAAGACCCUCUCUGGUGUUUGAAGAAAAGAAAGAUCUUGGCUAUACUGAGAGUUUUCCAGUUGGCAGAGUGUUCAGAGAUCAAGGGAGUCAAUCUGUCAGCAGACUUCUCUUCAGAUUGACAAUUUCUUCUGAUCACAGAGCCCAACAUUUUAGAAAGUGUGAGGUAAUACCCUCGUGCCAAGGUUAUGGAGACAGCCUGUAGUCUGGUAAGGUAA